AAAAAGUAUGUAAAGCCAUGAGAAGAUAACCAAACAACAGAGUCAGGUUGUGGAUGCAGUAUCUUGGCUGGGAAAACUGAAGUGCAGUGAGCCAAAGGGAGAUAAAAGUUUAUGUAGAAACAAACAGUAGAAACCUCUUACAUUUAUAUAGCACUUUCAUAUCACAAACCUUUUCAGAUCUGUGUUUUUCUUUUACCCUUAUAAUAGCCCAGGAAGAUGGGAAAAUUGUUACCCCCAUUUAACUGACAAAGGGUUUGGCAAAGGAAAGUCCCACCAUGAGUUAUGAUCAGAAUCUAAGCCUGGUUUCCUGACUCCCUGUCCUUUGUUUUUCCUAAAGAGAGCUCAGUUGUUUUAUUCCAGGGCUUGCCUAUUAUGGGGGGUGGGGGUGGGGGUGGAGUGGGGGUCUUAUUCUAAGAAGAAAGAAAGAAUGAGAAUACCUGCAGUGUGUUAGGUGAGGGCAUAUGGUAUUUAAGUGAAUAAUAAUAACAGGAAUGAGGAGAAGUAGGAAGGUGGGGAGGAGGAGGAAGUGGAGAGAGCAGAGGGGUGGCAGGAAGACAGGGGAGAACUACCACUCCUCUCAUUUAUGAAGAGUCAUCUGUAGUGUAAACACUAUACUACACGUUCAAUGAUUCUCACGUGUCUCGUGUAAAUUUCAUAGCCCCUUGAGAUAGAUGCUAACUUCAUUUUACACAUGAGGAAACUGAGGCGAGGGGAGGUAAAUAUUCUGCCAAGAGCACACACUAGUAAGCGACAGGGCCAGGAUCUGCACCUAUAUUGUCCAGCUCCAAAGCUUGACUACUGAGGUAUUCUGUGCUGAAAGAGCAUAGUAGUCUCUAUUUGUGUGAGAUCCUAGGUGCCAAAUGUGUAUGGGGUAGGUGUGGUGAGAAAGUGCUGAUCAAGGCCUGGUGCACCUUAAAGACCUCUCAACCCCCUGUGGAACUGGAUGAAACCUGCGACUGUGGCCCAUGGUGACACUUUCUGACCCAGCUAACCAACCCACUUCAAAACAGUGCUUCUAGCUUGCAGGGCAGUUCUGCCCUUAAGGCUGUUUUCCCAGAGGAGGUGGGCGCCGCUCCUAAAAAGCAGCUUACUCAAGGCCAUACAGGGACUCAGCAGUCUUGGGUCUACUGUAGGCUACUGAGGUCUGUGGCUGUCUCUCUGCACUUUCUUCUUAGCAGGUGAGUCUUGCUCUUUUAUAAAGAAAAGUGGCGACAAGCCACUGCCAUAAACCAUAACUCCAGGCAAGUUGGCUGAGAAAUUAAUGAUCCACAGCAUCUCUCUGAAGACAAAACAUCUCCCCAAACCCUCUCCAUCCCUUCAUCAUCUCUGUCGGAGUGCUUCUGCGACCCCUCUUACCACAGAACUCAGGUGCACUACAGAUUUAUUACUGCCUGCAACUUCCUUUUUUAGAGAAUUAGCCAUCAGAAUCAACGGAAUCAACGAAGGUAGUUUGGUUCCUCUCCACUUGGAUAAAUCACGCCAUUUUGGAAAGUGUCUCUGGGGGAGAAUUACAGUCUGGGAAAGUAGGAGCUUUCGUUAGUUUGUUUUCUUUUCCCCUCAGCCUGGAAGGGAUUUUGUUCCUAAUGCUUUCUUCUAAUGACCAGAUUGCUCAUUAUUUAUAGGGUAUAAUUUUAAGCUUUACAACUUGCAGCCAUUUUAAGUUGGCAAGUGUACCCCUUCUCCUAGGGCCUCUGUCUGCUGAUGAGUCCUCAGAGAAUUGUAGGUUCCCUUCUCAAUACAUAAGUAAGUAGGACCAAGCUGCAGAAAUCUUCACUGCUGAUCCCAGUCUGUGAAAGAAAUCUGUGCCCUGCCUUCUGUGGCUCUGUGUCAAGAAGAUCUUUAGGAUUGGCCUCCAGAAGUGGCAGGUCAUCUCAGAGAACUUUAACAUGUAUAUUCAUUGAUUCUGCAAGGUCAGAGUAAGAGUGGCAGGGGCAAGAAAAUCUCCUGAAAGCAGGAUCGGUUUGCGCUCUUGCUACAUUGAAUUUUGGACAAGUUGUUCAUGGAACCCCUCUUGAGUCCUGGUUUCCUCAUCUGCAGAGUGAUUACAACAACCAGACCCCCAUUUUAAGAUUGUUGGGAGUCCAAAGUGAGAGGAUACAUGUACAGUGUUUAGCAAAGCUCUUGGCACCAUGCCUGGUUCAAUACAUGGUAAUGAUUGUUACAUUAACUUUACAGAGAAAUAAAGAUUGGGUCAUUCUGUGGUCAACCAUGUCCUCUGUGCCAGCAGCCAUCCAUUUGUUAUUCCUGUGAAAUUCUAAACUUGAUUGAUUUUAUAUUUAUAGUAUGUUUCAGCCUCUUUAGCUAUUAAUGCAUUAAAAUAGGUUUCAUUUUUAUUUCAGAUAAAUUGCUGAUGCUAUAAAUCCUACUUUCUCCUUGCAUUCUAAGGAGAAGAAGAAAGGGACAACGCUAGUGAGAGAAAUGGGGGCUAGAAGCAAAUGUCUUAGGGAUCAACCUGUCGGAGCUCUGAGAAAUUUCCACAUGUGCUCUGAACUCUAUGUCUGCUUCCUAAAAAGAGAGAGCUGAGCCGUGUUUGGUGGCACUUAUUGGGGGGAUGCUGGGUGGUGUUGCCCUAAUGUCCUUGUUCUAGCAUCUGGAAUAAAUGCUGUUCAGUCCGUAUUGAAAUUUGGCGAGGGCUGCAAACGCCCCUGUGAUUACUAGAAAGAACAGACAUGCUGUGUAAUUUAUAAUUAUUUUCCACCGCGGACUUCAUUGCUGGCCAGAGGGAGGACGGCGGCUGGAAGGCAAAGCUCGCACAGUCCACCCAGCUCCAUGCUGGCAGAGCAUCAGAAGCAGACAAAAGGAAAAUACUAAAUAAUUUAGGUGGAAAGUGGGUUACUAAACCCACAGGCCUGGGCGCAUAUUGCAUUUCUAGUAAGAUAAUGCCUUUUUCUCUAGUUAGGUAAUAGUUGUAAGUGGAAGGGAAGGCCAAGCCCCAGUGGUCGGAAAGCUUCACCACAGAAGAAAACUCAAGGGAGACACUCAGCGCCACUGACCGUGUGGCCCAAGGUGGCUCAUGUAAGUCUCCAGAGCCUCUUUCCCCAGGAAGGGGCCGGCUCGGCUUUCCUCCUGCGGGGCACGCAGCUGCAAGGCUUUGGCCUGUGUUCUGGAGAGGCUCCUUCUGAUGAGUUCUGAAUAUCUAAACUGCGAGGGAGUCACAUUGGGAACAAUGAGAAUACAAAGGGAGGCCCUUGCAGCAAAUCUUCAGAAUAUCCUUAACGUCUCUGUCUGGUCAGAAGGAGUUGUAACAGUGGAGAGGCGGCCCGUGGUCUGUGGAGCUUGAGGGAAUGAGAGGAUGGUGGUGGAGGCGCCUGGCAUUCGGGGUCGUGCAUAUUACCUGGUUCGGGAGCAUGCGGUGACUACAGCUCUCUCCUAAGUCGGGAAGCUGGUGCGGGCCAGCACCUUGCAUACUCACCCUAUCUGGUAUUUAUGAUUGCUCCUCCAGGACUCGCCAGAAGAUAGCUCCUAGCAUCUGGGCUUAGCUUGGGAGCAACAUUGGGCUUUACAUGGUCUUAACCUUAAUUGGAGGAGUAAUGUCAGCAGGGGUUGCCAUUCUGUUCUGAUCUCAGAAGAGGCCUGAGCAACUGGGAGACGUGGCAGGAAGGAGCUGCUGCAAGUGAAUGCCCUACGUAAUGCAUAACGCAAGCCUGGGCCCCAAAGUGGACUGACGGAGACUCAUUUUCUCUUCUCUUUGGAAAUAGGAGGCCUCAAAAAUUACUAUAUGAGCUAGCCCCCUGACAUCCACUUCCUUUCCCAUCGCGUCCACUCUUAUCUGCACCCCUGAGUUAGGUCUGUAGAUGACUGCCUAACCCUACAAUUAGUAGAAAAGCAAACGUCUUUCCAAUGAUGCAUUCAAAACAAAAGCUAUUUGCUGGGCUAUUUUAUUGGCAAGAAUUUUCUUUUCAUGGGCAUGUAGGCUGGUUGUCACAAAAGUUUAUAGUAAAUCAACUGCAUUUUCUUUUAAGACCCUGAUUUUUGGGGCAUCUGGGUGGCUCAGUUGGUUAAGUGGCUCAGGUCAUGAUC
This is a long non-coding RNA of Mustela erminea (ermine), 4020 nucleotides long. RefSeq lists it as uncharacterized. The record is from RefSeq and is a predicted model, not a curated record. The transcript has 4 exons. NCBI's taxonomy places the organism in Eukaryota, Metazoa, Chordata, Mammalia, Carnivora, Mustelidae.